ACGGCGGACUGGUGAGUAACGCGUGGGUGAUCUGCCCUUGGGAUGGGGAUUUCCACUAGAAAUAGUGGGUAAUACCGAAUACGUUCGCACCUUCGGUGGUGCGAGGAAAAGCGCUUCGGCGCUGCCCGAGGAUGAGCCCGCGUCCCAUUAGCUAGUUGGUGAGGUAACGGCCCACCAAGGCGAUGAUGGGUAGGCGGCCUGAGAGGGUGUACGCCCACACUGGGACUGAGAUACGGCCCAGACUCCUACGGGAGGCAGCAGCUAAGAAUAUUCCGCAAUGGACGAAAGUCUGACGGAGCGACGCCGCGUGGAUGAUGAAGGCCGAAAGGUUGUAAAGUCCUUUUGCUGGGGAAGAAUAAGCAUGGGAGGGAAUGCCCGUGCGAUGACAUGAACCGGCGAAUAAGCCCCGGCUAACUACGUGCCAGCAGCCGCGGUAACACGUAGGG
Molecule: ribosomal RNA, 446 nt
Filed under: uncultured bacterium
Lineage: Bacteria
Description: bacterial SSU rRNA
Rfam family: Bacterial small subunit ribosomal RNA
Source: RNAcentral